Molecule: ribosomal RNA, 253 nt
Filed under: uncultured bacterium
Lineage: Bacteria
Description: partial 16S ribosomal RNA
Rfam family: Bacterial small subunit ribosomal RNA
Source: RNAcentral
UACGGAGGGGGCUAGCGUUGUUCGGAAUUACUGGGCGUAGAGCGCACGUAGGCGGACCAGCAAGUUAGGGGUGAAAUCCCGGGGCUCAACCCCGGAACUGCCUUUAAAACUGUUGGUCUGGAGGUCGAGAGAGGUGAGUGGAAUUCCGAGUGUAGAGGUGAAAUUCGUAGAUAUUCGGAGGAACACCAGUGGCGAAGGCGGCUCACUGGCUCGAUACUGACGCUGAGGUGCGAAAGCGUGGGGAGCAAACAGG